This 37605-nucleotide long non-coding RNA is filed under the name Ananas comosus (pineapple). RNAcentral's name for it is "long non-coding RNA (ACOM_LNC043294)". Lineage: Eukaryota; Viridiplantae; Streptophyta; Magnoliopsida; Poales; Bromeliaceae. The record is from RNAcentral.
CGUUAUUAUCUAGCAUAUAUAUAUCUUGAUAUAUAGUGUUGAGCCUAGCAUCAUGUUGUUCAGUUACACUCUACUCGGUUGUUCUCUUUAUAUCAUGAGUAGGAGUAGAGUAGUUAUACCAUAUUUCUCUGUUGCUCUACUUAGCUAUCUGCAUACCCUGUUUCAUAUUUAUAGUAGAGCGAUUCUGUGAUUAUCUGUGAGAUUAGCGAUCUAGUCGGUCGAUUCUAGUAUUCAGUAUUUGUGACCUAUUCGGUGAGUUCCUCGACCUUUGUUGUCUGAUGACCGUUGAGGUCGGUAUACCCUGAGGGGUGGGAUUGUCGGUUAGUUGCCGACGGAUGAUUAUACUUUACUCAUAUCCUAUACUUGUGACAUGAUUGGUCGAGUUUCAUACCUUAUACUUGUGACGUGAUUGGUCGAGUUUCAUAUCCUAUACUUGUGACAUGAUUGGUCGAGUUUCAUAUCCUGUACUUGUGACGUGAUUGGUCGAGUUUCAUAUCCUAGUUGAUCUGAGUGGUCAGUCCUUGUGGUUCAUUGAGCAGUAUUUGCAUAUGUUUGAGAGGAUGUAGAUGUUGUCCCAUCCUAGUUGACCUGAGUGGUCGGUUCUUGUGCUUCUUUACAGUUGACGACCUAUGCGGUCGAUGGGCCCUGGGGGGCAGGAUUGUCGGCUGGUUGCCGACGGUUGAUCAUUGAGAUUAUUGUAUUGAUCGCCCGAUACUCGUCGCAUUUCACGAACACUGGCGGUCUGAUCCACCGCAAGGAGUGUUCUUUUUCGGAAAAGUGGUUGAAUGGUGACAACCCAUGAGCCCUAGAGGGGUUAUAUGCACUGGAGAGUAGUAGUGGCAUUGGCUUGAGGUCUGCGGUGCUGACCAAGAGAGCAUUGGUUUCAGAUUGUGUACUUUUGAACUUCUUGACCGGUUGACGCAUAUGUCUAUACUAGCAGUCGUUGCAUGCAUAGUUACAGUUCUUACUUUAUAGUUGUUUUGCUACUAUAGUAGAUAUUCAUGUAUACUUUUGGUUCCAGUUACAGUAGCGGUAGCCGUUAUUCAGUCUAGUUCUUACUUUCUGUCAGUUUAUUGCUACUGUAUUUAGUAUAUCUGCUCAUUACCUUACAUCUCUUUCGUUUACUAUUGUUCCUACUGUAUUUUCACUGACCCGUGUUGUUGUAUAGCUCUUCCUGAUCCGGUGAGUACUCCUCGCCUUCUUCGGCUUGCGGUACCCACUGGGAGGGGAGACAUGUUUACAAGUUCUCACCUCCCCCACCAUUUUUCAGGUAUCGCAGGCGUUGUGUAUUGGGACGAGACGCGAGAUACGUACGUAGCGGUCGAUAGAGCUUCCGACCCAGGUUAUUUCGGUAUAGUUAUUACCCUUAUUAUUUCGGUUGUUAUAGCUUAGAUAGUUAUAUGGUUCAGUAUUUUUAUUACAUUUGAAAAUAUGGAUUUUCGUGAAUGUAAUAAACGGAUUUCUGGAUUUUGUAAAAUAAAAAGUUUUCUACCCCUCGUGGUAGCGUUUUUUUUAAAGAAUAAAGGUUUCCAUGUAGGAAACAGCUUUCAAAAGGUUUUCUGUGAUUUUAUAUCGUAGUAUUUCAAAAUCUGUUUCUGUAGUUGAAAACAUUUUAACUGAUAGAUGUGGAUUUAUGUUUAAAUGUUGAAUGCAUAAAUGUGAAUCUGUGGUGAAUAGUGUAUGAAUAUAUAUAUAACGGUUGGUUAUUUGUAUGUUCAUUUGUUGUGGUUGUGCCUGGGUGAUUUCUUGUACUUGUGCGACGCCGUGCAAAUACAGGGGAGACUCUGUCCGUGUGAACAGUGGAUUCCCUGUGUUUGUGGCGGAUCUGGCAUACUCUGGGGUCAGGCUUUUCAAAAAAAAAAAAAAAAAAAAAAAUCAGACGCUUUUCCGCUAUGUUUUAAACUAAAAGGGACCCCGGGGCGUGACAGCCGUCCUCAUCACCUAUUCCAAUUCUCCCAAUUUUGCACCUACACCAACACACCUAGGAAAAAAGAAGAAGGAAAUAAGAAAAAAAAUAAAAAAUAAAAAAUAGAAGGAAUAAGAGUACAGAUAAGCAGGAAACAGAGAAGAGGGAGAAGAGUAACAAAAGAAAAAAAGAAAAAAAAAAAGAAAGGGAGCAUGCAUGCCCCUCUCUUCUAUUCUCCAACAUUUCCACUCGAUUCCCAUCACCGCCUCUUCUCUCUCUCUCUAUCUCUCUCUCUCUCUCGCAUGCGCGCGCGGCCAUGGCGAAGCAUCAGAUCCCGACGAUCUCCGCCGCUGCCGCCACCGUGGUGGUGGCGGCGCUGCUGCUUUGCGUGCUCCCCUCGCACGUGCGCGGUAGGCGUGACCUCAAGCGAGGGUUCGUGGUCUGGGGCCGUGUCUUCUGCGAUACGUGCCGCGCCGGGUUCGAGACCCCCGCUACCACGUACGUCGCCGGUGAGUUUUUCCUCUUGGGUUUUCUUUUCCUCUUUUUUUUUUGUUUUUAAUGAAUGAUAAGGAGAGAGAGAGAGGGGGGCUAAGAUAGAGAGGAGAAGGAAAGAGAGAGAGAGUAGGGGAGAGGAGGAGAGAGAGAGAGAGAAAGAGGGAGCCAGCUGGAAAGGCUUUUCUUGGGAAAGAGAGAGCAGUCUUGAAAAUUCCCAAAAAUAUCUUGAAAAAAGAGAGAAUUUUCUUGAAAAAAGAGCUGAUCCAAGCUGCUGGACCACCCUUGGAAAGGAGCCAAGAAGCUAAGGGAUUGCCACGUAUGCCUCAAAAAACUAUCAAAUUGUUAGAUAUGUCUCGAAUUCUAGUACCGCAAGGUUUUCUAUCCCUAUUCUAUUUUGAUUAUCUCAUUAAGUUAAGUUUAGAUUUUGAGAUAUUCCUAAUCUUAGUGGGUUUGUAUUCCUAAUCGUAUUAGGAUUUAGCCACUAUUAUAAAUAUACCCUUUCUGCUAUUGAUUUACUGCGGAAGAUGAGAGAGGGAAUAUGGGUGUAUUUUUUGGGAUUAGGGUUUUGUGAGAGAAGCAUAUUUUGUACGCCACUUUAAUUAUAAUGAAGAUCUCCGCUUCGUCUUCGCCCAUGGACGUAGGCCGUUGGCCGAACCACGUAAAUAUUCUGUGCUUUAUUUUUCUUCUCUCUUUCUCGGAUCUCUUUUGGUAUUUUCGCAUCCGACGAACUAGAUCUUCUCGGUUUUAGUUCUAACACAAAUUAUGUAUGAAAAAAGAGAAAGAAUUUUCUUGAAAAGGAGCUGGUCCAAGCUGCUGGACCUAGAGAUGUCAACGGGUCGGAUUCGGGGCGGAUUUUUGAAAACCCGAAUCCGAACCCGACUCCAAACCCGAGACCCGAACCCGAACCCGAACCCGACGGAUUUUAAAAAUCCAUAUCCAAACCCGAACCCGACCAAAAAUCCAAAACCCGAACCCGAACCCGAACCCGAAAAUUUGAACCCGAAACAAUUAUUUCUUUUUUCAAUAUUUCAAAAUAUAUUAUAUUAAAUCUAAAAUUUUAAAAUACAAAUUCAAAUAUAACAUUAAAUUUUUAUAUAUAUAUUAUAUAUAAUACAAAAUAAAUUCGGGUUCAGGUCGGGUUGGGUUCGGGUCGGAUUCGGGUUCGGGUCGGGUACAAUCAAAAUCCAUAUCCGAAUCUAUAUCCGUCGGGUUUCUAUUUUUGAUAUCCAUAUCCGAAUCCAUAUCCAUAUCCAUCGGAUAUAUCCGUUUCAUUCGGGUUCAGGUUCGGAUAAAAUUUCGGGUAUCCAUACCCAUUGACAUCCCUAGCGACCACCCUUGGAAAGGAGCCAAGAAGCUAAGGGAUUGCCACGUAUGCCUUAAAAAACUGUCAAAUUAUGUAUUUGUAAGGAUGAUUUUGUAACAUCUUAAAAUUUAGAUUGUGUGAAGUUCGAACCGCUUAGACUGUAUUUAAAGUAUACAAGUGUUACUUUUACGUUUUUUAAUGCAUCUUUCACCAUGUAAUUUUCAGAAGAGCAAUCCAAGACUAGGUAUAAGAUCUACAACCUACUCACCCAAAGGCCAUUAGGUUCGUACUAAUCUUAUCAAUUUUUUUUUUGUUUAAUACUAAAAAUUUUAAAAGUUUUUAAUUUGAACCCUUGGAUGAAAGAGGAUUAAAAUUUACACCUAUAAUAGAGCGUCGAGGUAGCAUUUAUCUUUAACAAAGUAAUCUAGCUUUAGUUGGGCAAACUGUGUACUCGGUGGAAAGAUAAAGAUGCAUGGGUGACCCCCUUAAUGAUUAUGCCAUUUUGAACAUUUCGAAACUCUCAUAAUUUUUUAUUUUUAAAAUUGAGCGAGUUUCAUCAAAAACAUUUGGAAAUGUUAUCAAAUUAAUUUAUUGGUAAUUUCACCAAAUAUAUUGACCUUAGUUAUUUUUUAGCGAAUAAAAUUAGACCAGCCAGCAAUUAAUACGCAAUAGAAUCAUUAAAUUAAAUGAAAUUUUUAACUUAACUGAGUAUAAAAUAUUAAAAAAAAUAGAAGUGGAAGAGGUCUCGGUAAUGGUUGAAACAUCUUAUUUCAAAAUGAAAUGACCUGUAGUUGAGGGCGUCUCCAUAUAUACAAUUUUUUCAUUCAUAAAAGUUAUGAUUUCAGUAACCUAGCUAGCUAUUAAAUUAUUAUGGUAUCACUCUAGAAUUAAGAAUGAAAAAUGUAACUUUUGAUACUUUGCGUGCUAUAUGUGUGUAGUAAUUUAUGCAGUACAAGUGGAGUACCCGCGCUUCGCGGCGGGAAAUUUUGACGCUAAAAUUUAAUUUUAAAGCUUAUAAUAUAUAAGUAAAUAUUUUUGAUAUAAUAGUUUACAAAUGUGAAAGGAAGGAUCAGUGUAUAGUAGAAAUCUAAAAUAUCGACGCAAGUUAGGUUCAAAUUUUGUUAGAAUUGGGGAUUUAAGGGUUGGCUAAUGAGAUUUAGCCAUUUGAAGGAAAAAGAUACGGUGACCUCGCUGCUUACGCCAACGAUCAUUCGGUCGGAGAGAUCCGAUGGUUAUUGAUUUGGGUUUGGGGCGGAUACAGUAAAAAAUGUAUAUCCGAAUUUGUAUCAGUUAGGAUUAUAUAUUUGAUAUUCAUAUUCGAAUACAUAUCUUUUUAGCAUCAGAUAUAUCGGGUUUAUUCGAUUUUGGGUUCGGAUAAAAUUGUAGGCAUAAAAAAUUUAGAACGGACAUUAUACAAUCUAGAAUGCAAAUUUAUAGAAAAUGUUGCUUAUGUUCGACAAUCGGUUCGUAGGUCUGGUUGGUAUUUCCUUCAUAGUUAGAAGAUUUGUACCAUAUUAGUACAGGUAGGUAAUUCGAUCUGAAGUCGGUACAGAAAACCAAGUAUACCUUUAUGUUGCAUAAAACAAAAGGAGAAAACUCCAUUGUUAAUACUAAAAAAAUGGCGUAAUAUAACUUUCUUCUGUAUAACCAAAUAUACUCUAUUGUAAAUGGGCAUCUUCUUGUAACUUUAUUUUGGUGGAAUGUGAUUGCACUAUAAUAGUAGAUGUCUUGGCGGCUUGUUUUCACUUUACUACCCUUUUGUCGGGACUUGUAAAGUGAAGAGUUCUUUUUUUGUUUGUUUGUUUUUCGUUUCUUGGAAUUUUAAUGCGAUAGCGCACUUGAAGGUUAGAUGACAGUAUGAAGUUGUAUAUAUAUAUAUAUAUAUAUAUAUAUAUAUAUAUAUAUAUAUAUAUAUAUAUAUAUAUAUAUAGUGUUCCUGAGUUUUGGAUAGGAUUGGCUUCAGUAUUAGUGACUGGUCGACAUCUCUGGAGAGUGUCGGACUGAGUCGGAGUCAAUUCCGCACGAAUUGGAUGCAGAAUUGGACUCGACGCACUCAAAUAAGCAAAACUGGAGUUUUGCUAGAUUCGGGCGCCCAGAACAUUUUUAGGGUCGCCCAGAAACGAGUGUUGAAUUUAACUGAACUGGAAGCCAAUUCGGAUCCCAUGUUCCGGGCGCCCAGAUGUGGGUCCGGAAAUUCGACAUCGUGAAUAACGCUUGCUUCGACGUGUGGCAGGGCGGUAGGUGAGUUCCGCCGGAGCCAUUUACGGGCACAGCACACCGCGAGCGGAGAGUCCGAGGAGCCCGUUUUGUACAGUCUGGAUGUUCUGGUCGCCUAGAACAUGGUUCCGGGCACCCAGAAACGCCCGUUUCUGCAGGGACACUGGAUAGCAGCUGUUUUUCCUGGGGCUUAUUUUAUCCCUCCAGCAGCCUAUAAAUACCUAGUAAACGCCCCUUUGCUGCUCUUUUCCUCCCUUCUUCACAGAGAAGUCCCUUUAGCAUCUCAAACACUCGGGUUUGCCCCAAUUUGAUUCAAACUUCCAUUGAUCCAGCUUGAUGGAGUUCUGAUUCUACAGUUUUUUAGCGACGACCUCCAGUGUUUUGGCUCGUGCGCGAUGUAGGAAGGUCGGAUUUUGACAAAACUUGGUUUGCUGGAUUCUAGACUUCCAGAGGAAUCCACGAAGCCCUGAAUUGUAGAUUUUGGUUGAGGUUAGCUUGGACGAACUGAGAUUUUUCUGGACUGCUGUUGACUUUGAGCUGAAAAUAGGAUUUUUGAGCUUUUCUUAAUGCUAUCUUUGUUGGCAGUGGGAUUUUGGACCUGAGAUUGAUCACCCAUCAGUAGUUACUGGAUUUGGAUCUGUCCUCACCCGAAUUGGAGAUCAUUAGGUGAGUUUUGAUAUUGAAUUUAGAUAAAUCCUAAGCUUAAGUGCUGAAAUUGAUGGUUUUUAUUAGAUUUUGGGUGAAUUCUAAUGUCCAGAUCUUGAGGGGCUUUAUUGCUGGUUUGGAGGUGUUUCCAGCAGUGUUGCUUGUGAUCCGAGACCCUCUUACUGCCAGGAAUUUCACUAGAGGUGGGUUAUCAUCGGUUUCGCUCCUAAGUGCAUGUUUAGUCGACGUGUAUAGUUCGGUUCUUGUAUAUCAUGUUUUAAUUCAUCGAUUAGCAUCUUGAAUGUAAUAUGAAUGUAGAACCAUGCUGAAAUAAAUAUUUAUAUUAUACAUGUUGGACUUGAAAUUUGACUUAGGAGAAAACCUGCGUUUUGACCCGUCAUAUGCUUAAACUACCAGAUUUAGCUCUAGGAGCCCUGGUUCGAUUGUAUCGUUGCAGUAUCAGUGCGAUGGAUACCUGGGGUAGUUUAGAAGGCAUUUACGCUCGUGCUGGGGUGCCGAGCUUAUUUUUCAGCAGGGUUUAGGUUGUUUCGGGUCGUUGGGUACCGUUCGGGUUAGCGGUGGACCCAGAUUCUUGUUUUGGUCACAGAUUGUGCCGAGGGCACGUGGGUUUGGUUUGUAGACCUGUUUUGACCCUGUUCACUUGACUUUGGCUAGUUGGAGCUAUUUGAGCUCGACAGAGAUACACUGCAUACUCGGUUGGGUAGCGCCCUGUGACGCCCCAACUUCCCAGGGGGUCACCCAUCCUAGGACUACUCCCGUCCUAGCACGCUUAACUCUUUUAACCUCUUGGGUCUAGCCACCACCCAAAAUGCUUAAGCCGGGUUUAGAGUUUUAGUCCUAUUAUAUCUCAUAUAUAGGACUAUCUGUGGUCUCACAAUCUCCCAGCCUUUAAGCCCUGACGUCCUCGUCAGGCUCAGACUCACAAGUACCAGGCGAUGUGAGACUCAUCUCGCUAGCCCGUCAUCCAGACCCUGGCUCAGCCGAGACUCAUCUCACACUUCCGGCUGGUAAUUGGCUCUGAUACCAUCUGUGACGCCCCAACUUCCCAGGGGGUCACCCAUCCUAGGACUACUCCCGUCCUAGCACGCUUAACUCUCUUAACCUCUUAGGUCUAGCCACCACCCAAAAUGCUUAAGCCGGGUUUAGAGUUUUAGUCCUAUUAUAUCUCAUAUAUAGGACUAUCUGGGGUCUCACACGCCCACGAGUGCCACUCCAGAGUCAGGCUUUGUGCUUUCGCGUUGGUGUCGCUCAUGCCGGUUGGACUUACUCUCCACGGAUCAGUUAGUGUGGAUAGAGCUGGAUAGUUGCAACUGGGCAGGGACGGGUGUGUUCACAGUCCCAGGGACGGGUAUGUCUACAGUCCCGAUUGGAUUUGGUCAGAUUUGACAUUUCCUACAGUCGGUUAGUGUAGAGCAUGAUAGUGUAGUGAUCCAUAGCGGUAGAUUUUAUUCCUGUAUUUACUACUAUUCUUGCUCCCUUCUGUAAACUUAGUGGGUGGACCGAUGUUGUUUUGGGCGGUACCCACUGAGAACUACUUAUUUUUACAGUAGUUCUCACGCCCAGUUGUUACCCCGUUUUUGCAGAGCCUUCGUCUUUGGCUGCUGCUAUUGCUGAUCAGGAUCGAGGCAAGGGCGUCGCGAGUUAGAGCCCUACCCGACGAGCCGAGCUAGAGGUGCCCUUCUGCAGGUAGUUGUUUUGUUGGAGUUUAUGUACUUACCUAUCUUUAACUCGCCAGUGCGGGUAGUUUUGUAUCUUGGAGUUUGGUAUAUGUAUAUGGAACUCGGUUUGGUUUUCUUCUAGUUCUUCUAGCAGCUCUAUACUACUGUUUGUAGUAUUGUAUGUUUUACAGGUACAGCUGUCGUUUCGUAUACAGGGAAAAUUUCUUCGUAUACGGCGGAUUUGUCGGCGUGCCGGGGGAACGUGUAAUCCGGGGCGUGACAGAUUAAGUUGGUAUCAGAGCUUAGCAUUAGGUUGUUAGGACCUAGAGAACCCAAGUUUGGCAAACCUUAGGAAAGCAAGACGCGAGAGGCGUGAUUUAUCGCGAAAGUCAACGAUUUGUUGUUCUAACUCCUCCUAGAGUGGAGUGAGUGAUUGGAGGAGUUCCUGUUUUGUCCUGAAAAAUUAUGUUGGCUGCAGACGACAUAAUUUUGGGGAGAAACAGGGGGCCGCCUUCUAAACUUUCGUUUGAUUGGGUCGAGAGUGUUUUAUUGUAUCUGACCCCUAUUUUGUUCUUUGCUGCUAUGUAUCGUCGCCGAGGACGACCGUCGUUGGGGGAGCGUGCGCAGUUGGCGCAGGAUCGUGCGGGUAGUUUUGUAUCUUGGAGUUUGGUAUAUGUAUAUGGAACUCGGUUUGGUUUUCUUCUAGUUCUUCUAGCAGCUCUAUACUACUGUUUGUAGUAUUGUAUGUUUUACAGGUAUAGCUGUCGCUUCGUAUACAGGAGAAAUUCCUUCGUAUACGGCGGAUUUGUCGGCAUGCCCGGGGAACGUGUAAUCCGGGGCGUGACAAUAUAUAUAUAUAUAUAUAUAUAUAUAUUAUAGAAGUUCUAAUUUUCUAUUUUUUUUUUAAUAAAUGAAUGAAUAAUUAGUCAGAAAAUUGUGAAAUAUGAAAGUUUUGAGGAGCCCAAGGAUCUAUCUAGAUUGUAUCUAUCACCUAGAGGGGGGGUGAAUAGGUGUAAUGGCCAAAAACCACAAAUCUCGAUGCAAUAAAAAUAAAUGCAGAAAAUAAAAAACACACCGAGAUUUACGUGGGAAAAAUCCAAUUUGGAGAAAAAACCCACGGGACCAACACGCGAAAAAACAAUCCACUAAGAGAAAAGAUUACAAGGUGAUUUACCGACUCUACGAACUCAACCUCUCUUGACCUCCUAUGGAUCUCGCGCAAUCCUCUGGGUUGUCCACGCCCUCACGUCCGAAUCCACGAACGCCUCCACUUCGAAUCCACGAAGCUUCAAUCACGCCGAAUCCACGACGCCACUCGAAUCCACGAGCCCACGAUCCGAAUCCACGAACCGCCGUCAAACACGCCGAAUCCACGACGCCGUCAUGAAGAUCAUCAUGAUUAUGGUGAUCCUUCGCUUAGGAGUAUCGUAGAAAACCAGAGAAAGAAACUCCAAGCGAAGCGGAGAUCAAAUCGGCAUAUAGAUAUGAAGUUUCAAUAUCCCGAUUUGACCUAAAAGAGGCUUUAUGUAGAAAAUAGGUUUUAGAUGAAAUCCGAGCCUCUAGGGUUUCUCAAACAUGUAUUUUCGUGAUGCUUAAUGAGUUAGAGAACCCCAAUAGCUUAUUUAUAGACUUUAGAAUCAAUUGGAGUCGGAUUAGAAAGUUUUCACGAUUUUACACUUUGUACGGGUACGCGAAAUGCUGUCACCGGUUACACAAUGACGGAACAAAUUUUCGAAGCCAAAGUUGAUGGCUGUACCGGUACGGGCUUGAUUGCUGUACCGGUACACAAUGCAAUUUUUGGGAUUUUGCAUUGUUUCGAGUUCCGUACACUUCCGAAGCACUUUCUAAUCAACUAAACUUUUGAUUAAAUGAUUCUAAUGCCUAUAACUAAGUAUGAAUCACCAUAACAUGAAUUAAAACUUUACCUAACCAUCGUGAUUCACGUCGUGAGGUAUUUACUGUUUUUUUUCCAAAAUCUUGAAUUCUUUGAUCUUUGUCAAUUCGCUUCGAUUCUUCAAGACUUCGACUUACUUCACGAAACUUGCCAAUACAAAAUCCUUAACAUCUGUCACGCCCCGGGACCCAGCGGAAGCCCGCCCGGCGCGUGCCCAGACCCGCCAUACGUCCAAAACAUAUAAGGCGUCUAAAAAACAACAAUAAAUAAAGCGGUAAUACAAGAAACUAGGAGUAUCAGAGCAUGAUAUAAAACUAAGUUCUACAAUAAAGAAAGGAGGAUAAAACUGGAAUUCACUAAUAAAAGCAUAAGAUAAUACAAAGAAAAUCCCAAAUACAAGUGCUAAAGGUAGAUACAUAGGUGGUCUCUAUACAUGGAUACAAAAUCUCUCACUCUCUCACAACUACAAAAGAAAGAGCAAACCACCUAGGCAAGAACCGCUCCUCGCUAGCUAGCUAUGCGAUCCCCUUGCCGCGAUCCCAUGCCUCCGCCGGUGCAGAAGGCUCUGAAAGAAAACCAAAAAACGGGGGCGUGAGAACUAUUAAAAAUAGUUUCCAGUGGGCAAUUACUGACUUCAGUGAACUGCGCCACAAGGCCCAAAAGCUACGAAAAGAGGUCAGUGACUAACCAUGUAGUAAAGCGAAAGGUAAGUAAAAUGUAACUUACUAUAACAUAGAGUCUCUACUUGGCAUGAUUUGCGUAAGUAAUAAAGCAACGAUAUCAUAAAUGUACAUGGAUGUGUAUGACAUGCAUAAGCAUAGAAAUGCAACCAAUCCGAUGUCCUCGAUGCAAAAAUAGUAAAGAUGUCAUUAUUUACUAUUCUAGUCCAAGUCCACUUUAAUAGUUUUAAAGUUCACAUAGCAUGUUCUGUCACUAAGUUCCAAUCAUAUAAGACCCACCCGAAGGCUGUCUGGCCUGCGCCGUGCCUAAUGGCCCCGUGGUAGUCAACAUCCCCACUCUAGGGAUGAGCCUUCCCCACGGCAAUCCACUUCGGCGCCCAAUCCCACACGGGCGAGUAUAUGUCGCGAUGGCUAUCUCCGGAGUGCCGGAGAGUGCCAGCUUGUAGGGAGCGACCCUCACAAGCAUGUGCGAAAGAGCACAAUAGCAAGCAAGCAAUGAUCUGUCUCAAGUACCAAGUUCUCAUGUCUAAAACAUGGAAUAUAUCAAGUAUCUUAGUAGCCUAUCUGUCACGCCCCGGAUGUCUCAUUCCCCGGGCACGCCGACAAAUCCGCCGUAUACAAAGGAAUUUUCCCUGUAUACGAAGCGUCAAAGUACCUGUAGAAAUACAAUACUACAAACAGUAGCAUAGAGCUGCUAAAAAAAAAAAGCUAAAUAUCUGAGUUUCAUAUACAUAGCUAGAAUCCAAAAUACAAGGCUACUCGCACUGGCGAGUUAAACAACUAUGUACAUAAACUCCAAAACAAAACUACCUGCAGUAGGGGAAAGCCUCUAGCUCUGACUGUCGGGUAGGGCUCUAGCUCGCAACGCCAUUGCCUCGAUCCUUAUCGGCAGAAGAUGCAGCAGCCGGCACCUGUGGCUCUGCAAAACAUAAGUAACAACUGGGCGUGAGAACUACUGUAAAAACAAGUAGUCCUCAGUGGGUACCGCCGAAAACGACAUCGGUCACCCACUAAGUCUACAGAAGGGAGCAAGGAUAGAAGGAAAAGCAGGAAGUACACUCUACCGCUAUCAUCCACUACACUAUCAUGCUCUACACUAACCAACUGUAGGAAAUGUCAAAUCUGACCCAAUCCAAAUCGGGACUGUAAGCAUACCCGUCCCCGGGACUGUGAAUACACUCGUCCCUGCCCUGUUGCGACUAUCGAGCUCUAUCCACUCUAACUAGUCCGUGGAGAGCAAGUCCAACUGGCAUGAGCGACACCAACGCGAAAGCACAAGCCUGACUCCGGAGUGGCACUCGUGGGCGCUACCCAACCGAGUAUGCAGCGUAUCUCUGUCGAGCUCAAACAGGCUCUGGAAAGCCAAAGUCAAGAAACCGACUCUAAACUAGUCUAACAACCAACAGGUAACGUGCCCUCGGCACAAUCUGACGUCAAAAAGGCGAUACGGGUCCACCGUCAACUCUGACGGCACCCAACAGUCCGAAAUAACCUGAACGAUCCGGUAAAAAUCCACUCGGCGAACCAGCACGAGUGUAAAUAUAUUCUAAACUAUCUGGAGUACUCGUCUCGACAAUACUGCGACAGUACAAUUAUCUAACGGCUCCUAGAGCUAAAUCAGGCAGUUUAUACAGGUGACAGGUCCAAAUCGUAGGUUUUCUCCUAAUUCAAUUUCCAAGUCCAACAUGUAUAAUCUACUUAAUUUUAAAAAAAAUAUGCUCCAAAAUUCAGAUUUCACAAUCUACAUAUAGUCCAUGAAUUUGAGCUAAAAUUAAUUACCGAAAUCAAAAUCUAUACAUGUCGACCAAUAAGAACUUAGGAGUAAAGCCGAUGUAACCCACAUAAAAUGCUAAUCCCUAGCAGCGAAGGACUCCCCCCGGUGUAGAGCAACCUGCUGGAUCACCCGGAACCCGCCGAGUACAGAAAUAGCCUAAGCCCGAGCUCUACGCAACAAAAUUCACCAAUUCAGUCCAGAAAUCGCAGCAGAGAAGGGAAGGGUUUCGACCAAGCUAACCUUCACGAAAAUUCGCAAGUAAGGGCUUCGUGGAUUCCUCUCGACGUCCUGAAUCCAACGAGCCAAGUCUCGUCACAAUCUGAUGCUCCUACGUCGAGAACAAGCCAAAAUACCAACGGUCGACGUCGAAAAACAGCAAAACGGCAUAUAAGACCAAAUCUGAUGAUACUCGAAAUAUACGCAGCAAUUCUACGGAGCACUUACUUCGCUAGACCCUCAAGAGUCGGCGCGACGUCGAGGACGACGGAAAACUACGCUCGCCCGAGCUCCUCACAGCACCACGACGACGAAGCGUGCGCCCGAACGGCUACGCGGCAACACGUCGGCGACGAAACUCCACCCGAGUUCCAACUUGCUCACAACCGGAUAGAAGAGUGGGAGAGGUGGAGAAAUGCUGCUAGAAGACCCUUCCCUCAGCCUCUCUACACGUAUAUGAAGGAGUGGGGGAGAGGGUGACAACAACGAGGUGAGGAAAUUCCCAAAAAGUCCCUCACCUACCCCCUUGUACCGGUACACGGGCUCCUGUACCGGUACAAGAGCCAACCCGAGAGCAGUUGAGCUAUUUCGCGCUGGUUGUACCGGUACAGCCACUAAGCUUGUACCGGUACAGCAAGCAGAGAAUGCUGCUGUUUUGCAAAAUUCUUCGCGAUAAGCUGCCCUCGUGUCGCACGGAGUCCGUUUUACGUCUAUUUGACGCCAACGCGACUCGGACUUGUCCCGACACUCUCCAGAGCUGUCGACAAGCCUCCACAGUCAAACACCAGGGGUCUCACACUAUCUCUAUGUCAUCAUGUCUCUAACAUGGAAUAUAGCAGAUGUACAAUGGCCUAUCAUCAUGUCUCUAAGUUGCAUUUUCAUAGUUUACUAAUUCCAAGUGCCCCUUUAUGACACUUUUGCUCAACGAGUCCCAAGCAUGGCAUUAAUAUAUUCAUGAUGCAUAGUUCACUCAAUUCUAGCAUGGAGACAUGUUCUCAACUUGCAAAACCAAGCACUAUCCACAAUGCAUGCAAUCUACACAUAUAACUCUAUUAUAUGGAGUACAAGUUUUACGAUACAUGAGGCAUGCAUGUUAAGUGUUCUAAAAUUCACAUAAAUCAUGUUUAGCAUGAAUUUGCAUUCGAGAAUACUUUACGAAAAGUUAGAAGGCAUAGGGGCCAUUUUGCCCGAUUUUCAUGAAGUCAAACUCACCAAAAUCGACUUCUUCGUUUCGCCGAACGAAGGUAUCCACAAGCUUCCUAGUACCCUAGAAACAUCAAAAAUAGGGUCACCCAAACGAAACGAAGAGCAAAUAGCUCAAUCAUUAAGCUUCUCAAGCUAGGGUUGGAGAAAACUUACCGAUUGCGAAGGAGGCUCUCACGAUCUCCAAAUGGGAGUUAGAGUCCUUCCAAUCUAACCUAAACAAAGGUUUUAAACCCAUCAAUUAGGUUCCAAAGCCCUCAAAUCAAAAAUCCCCAUUUUUAGCCCUAGAAUCCAAAAUCUAGGGUUUCAUCCAAGAGAAACCUUCAAAACUUAAUCCAAAUGGGAGAUUAAGUCUACUAACCUCACAAGAUGCUCAAAACCAAGCUCCAAGUCCUCAAGAGUUGAAGGUUGAUCUCCAAACAAGCUCCAACCAAGAUCCCAAGUUUCUCCAAUGGUGGAAAAACCCACAAAAGCAAGAAGGAGAGAAGGGAAAGAGAUCAAAACCCAUAAAAGCCACCAAAAAUGGAGAUCAAACCAAGAGGGGAAGACUCACCUUGUUUCUCUCUGUUUGGAGCUCAAGGAGAGCAGCCAAGGGGGCUGGGGUUGUAUAUAAAAGUGUUGUAACAAUUACAAAAACACCCCUCCACGAAACAGCCCCAAUCUGCACUGUGUACCGGUACACGGGAUUGUGUACCGGUACACCACCCAUGAAAAUGCAAACCCGAGCCUCGGGUUUGGCCGAAAAGCCGUCUGUGUACCGGUACGCGGGCCCGUACCGGUACAGCCAUCAACACCGUACCAGUACAGCCACCAAGCCUGUACCGGUACACAGCCUGCUGGAGGCUACCCGAGAGCUGACCAAAAAUCCAACUUUUUGGAUUUUGAUGCAAGGUUUUAAACCACAAUUCUCGGGGCUCGAACCAUAGGUCGGAACACUGUCGGCGACCCACCAGAAAGUCUGAAAAAGCUCAGAACACAAUCAAUCACUCGAACCCCGCAAUUUGCAAGGUCCAGUGCGUUACACACACACCUAGGGUUGUUCCUUGAGCUUGGAACAGCAGGGAUUGAGGUAAAGGGCUCUCCCCUCCUUCUCCUUGGAUUUGUCUUGCCUUUUGCUUGGAUUUUGGUGUUUAAUCAUCUCUUUUUGCUUCUUGGUGCAUUUUCCACCUUGGGAAAAGCUUGGAGCUUGGACUUGGAGCUUGAUUGAGGGGAGAUCUUCAACCUUGUUGGGUUAGGGCCUUAAUUGAAGCUUCUAAGAGGUUAGUAACAAGUUUCUUUCCUCUAUAUUUCUUGUUUUAAAGGUUGUUUUGAGAUGAAACCCUAAAAAUGGAAACUUACGGUGGAUUUUGGGCAUUUUUGAUUUAGGGCUUUUGGAGCUUAAUUCCUUGGAUUAGAACCUUCUUCUUGGUUGGAUUGGAAGGGUUCUAGCUCCCUUUUGAGGAUCAAUAGAGAUUAUCACCGUUUUAGAUGAGUUUUUGCCCCGUUGCUAGAUUUGGUUAAUAUUUGAGCCUAGGGCUUUACGUAACGUAUGUGUAUUUCUUCUCUUGUGACCUUUAGGGUACUAGAAAAAUUAUAGACAACUCCGUUCAGCGAUACGAAGGAGUUUUAGCGAAGUUUCGGUAGGUUUGACCUCGCCAAAAAUGAGAAAAUCUCAUUUUUGAUGAUUUGAUUAUCAUAAAAUGGGAAUUCAUGCAUUUUCAUGUUAGAUGUAUUAUUUGUGAAUUUUAGAAUGCUUAAAAUGAUUAUGUUAUAUACAAUGCAUUUUUGGACCUUUAUGUAGUAGAGAGCUUGCCUGUGGGACUUAUGCAUGGAUUUAGCAUUCUAAUUGGGACUUGGAAUCAUACUUCAUAUAGUAGACAUGACAAAUGUAAUAUGUCUUCGACAUAAAUCUCAUUUGGACAUAGGAGAAUACAUUAGGCCAUAAAGUGGCUAUGAACUUGAAUGUCAUGUGAAUUAGUGAGCUAAUGUCAUGAAGCGACAUUGAGCAUGGGUUGUAUAUGAACCUAGUGAAUAAUGCCACAAAGGGGUAUGGGAUUUGGGAUAUACUUGGAUAGAGCCAUGUUAUAGUGUCAUAAAAAGACACUAGACUUAGUGAAUGUUGGAACUUCACAUUGUGAUAUAGAACUAGACCGAUGGUUACUAGUGACUAUUACCAUGUUAGAAACAUAAUGAUUGGGUACUUGAGACGGUGACUAUGCUUGCUUGCCAUUUGUGCUUAUUCGCACAUGCUUGUGAGGGUCGCUCCCUACAAGCCAGCACUCCGGAGUUGGCCUAUGCGACUUAUGUUCGCUCGUGCGGUAUCGAAAAACCUACGAGGUCGGGAGGGAUAGACUCAUUCCUAGAGUGGGAAUGUUGGAGCUACCACCGGCACUUAAGUGGCACAAGCUGGACUACACUAGUGUAGGUCCUAAAACAAGAUUGAACAAUGACAACAAUCCAUAAAUGAUAAUCACUACUAGAUAGGGUGUAGUAGUUGGAUUACCUUGACAUGCUUAGUGCAUACUUGUGGACAUUUGAGAUAUGUAGUAUACUUAGUAAUAUCACUCAUUGCAUUAUAGUAUACUUGCUUGCCGUGUGGGAUCAUACUAGAUAUGUAUUAGACAUACUUGAUCAUAGUAGAAUGAAUGUACCAUAUGUUGUCAUCAUAUUACUUAUGGCAUAGUGCUUUCAUAUCUGCAGUUUAUUUUCGUUGCUUUUCAUAUUUACCUUAGUCUUCUAGGCCUAGUGGUGCAAUGUCCUGAGGUCAGUAAUUACCCACUGGGAACUUUAAAUUAUAGUUCUUACGCCCCCUGUUUCUUGUUUCUUUUCAGAGCCUUCUACACCGGGCGAGGCUAGGGACCGCGGAAAGGGCAUCGCCUCGAGCUAGCUCUUUUAUGAGGGACGUAUCGAUAGGUGGUCUACCUCUCAUUGGUUUUAUUUUGGAGAGGUUGAGAGUUGUACCUGUAUAGAGACCACUCAUUUUGUAUUUUGAAACUGACGAUGUAUUUACUUUAUGUUUUAUAUUAGUGGAUUAGCUUCUUUUCUCUCCACUUGUUGUUAGUAUUUUAGCUGCUGGUUGCUCUGAUAUCUCUAGUUGUCUUACUUCUUCUUGCUUUCAUCUCUCUAUUCUUGUAGACGCCUUAUAUGUGUAGGCAUAUGGCAGGUCUGGGCACGCUCCGGGCGGGCCUAUGCCGGGUCCCGAGGAGUGACAAACUCUCUGGCCCACAUCGCUCCAAUGAAUAGGAGAGCGACAGUUCUUUCCAUAAAGGGCCUCGAAUGGCAUAAUCGUGCCAUCCGCUCUUGUAAUCAAGUACACACGCUCGAAGCUUGUUCUCAAGGAUUUGUAUUGUCCUCUCCGAUUGACCAUCACUUUGAGGAUGAAAUGCCGUACUAAAGUCAAGCCGUAUGCCCAAAGUGUCUUGUAAGUUCUUCCAAAAAUGAAAUGUGAACCUAGUGUCUCGAUCCGAUACAAUAUACACCGGAACCCCAUGUAGUUUCACAACCUCGUCGAGAUAUACUUGAGCUAACUUGUCUCCCAGCCACAUGGUGUGGAUUGGCAAAAAGUGUGCUGACUUUGUUAACCGGUCCACUAUUACCCAAAUUGCAUCAUGUCCGCCUUGAGAUCGAGACAAACCAGUAACAAAGUCUAUUGCGAUGUCUUCCCAUUUCCAAACGGGUAUAGAUAAACUUUGCAAUUUUUCUGCCGGAAACCGGCGCUCCGCUUUUACUUGUUGGCACGUAAGAUAUUGCGCCACGAACUGCCCAAUAUCUUUCUUCAUGCCCGACAACCAAUAAUGCACUUUUAAAUCUUGAUACAUCUUGGUGCCGCCCGGUUGUUGCUAUAGGAAAAUUGAUGCGCUUCUUGCAUAAUCGCCUUUCGAAUGUCCUCAUCUUUAGGCACACACCAACGAUUUCGGAAUCGAAAUGCACCAUCGGUCCCAAUGCCAAAUCAUCGGCAUUACCGCUUUCAACUUCACCCCGCACCUUUUGGAGAUAUGCAUCGGAAGCUUGUAGCUCUUUAAUCUUCUCCAACAAGGUCGGUUGAACCACCAAUGCGGCUAGGCUAGCCAGCACUCCCGGAGCCACUACCUCAAGUCCAAACAGUUGCAUCUCUUUUUGCAAUAACGGUUGGGGUGUAAUUGCCGAAGCCAAGUUUUCCACCGAUUUUCUACUUAGAGCAUCGGCCACGACGUUUGCUUUUCCGAGGCAGUAUAGAAUAAUGACGUCAUAGUCCUUUAGCAACUCCAACCACCGCCGUUGUUGCAUGUUUAAUUCUUUUUGGGUGAACAAGUAUUUGAGACACUUAUGAUCCGUGUAAAUCUCACAAUGCUCACCGUACAAGUAAUGCCUCGACAACUUUAGUGCGAAUAUCAGCGCGGCUAGCUCAAGAUCAUGAAUCGGGUAGUUCUUUUCAUAACUCUUCAAUUGGCGCGAAGCAUAUGUGAUGAGUCGCCCAUUUUGCAUCAAAACACACCCGAGACCAAUAUACGAGGCAUCACUGUACACUACAAAGGUCUCCCCGGUGUCGGCAAGGCAAGUACCGAGGUUGAUGUCAACCUUUCCUUCAAUUCCUCGAAGCUCCGAUCACAAUCGUCACUCCACACAUAUUUUACUCCUUUGUGCGUGAGGCGUGUUAGUGGAGUAGUUAUUUUAGCAAACCCCUCCAUGAACCGCCGAUAAUAUCCCGCAAGUCCAAAAAAACUACGGAUCUCUGCAACACUUGUCGGGCGAGGCCAAUCCUUAAUUGCCUCGACUUUCUUUGGAUCAACUGAGACACCAUCAUCCGAUAUCACAUGGCCUAAGAAAGUGACCUUCGAAAGCCAAAAGUCACAUUUCUUCAACUUGGCAUAAAGCUUCUCUUUUCGGAGUAUUUGCAACACGGUUUUCAAAUGUUCCUCGUGUUCCUCCUUGCUCUGUGAAUAAACCAACACGUCGUCAAUGAAUACCACGACGCACUGGUCCAACAACGGUCGAAAGACUCGAUUCAUCAAGUCCAUAAAUGCUGCCGGGGCAUUAGUAAGCCCAAACGGCAUUACCGUGAACUCGUAGUGGCCAUACCGCGUACGAUACGCCGUUUUGUGCACAUCCUUCGGCCGGAUCUUCAACUGAUGAUAUCCCGACUGGUCGAAUAGAUCAUCAAUCCUCGGCAACAGGUACUUGUUAUUGAUUGUCACUUUGUUCAACUCGCGAUAAUCCACGCAGAGUCGAAGUGUGCCAUCCUUCUUCUUUACAAAUAGCAUCGGAGCUCCCCACGGUGACACGCUCGGCCUCACAAAGCCUUUAUCGAGCAAGUCUUGCAAUUGAACUUUCAACUCUACUUGUUCCACCGACGCCAUUCUAUACGGAGCCUUUGAAAUUGGCGCCGCCCUGGGAACCAAGUCAAUGACAAACUCGAUCUCCCGGUCCGGUGGCAAUCCCGGUAACUCCGCCAGAAAUACAUCCGAAAAUUCACAUGCUACUCGGAUAUCCUCAAGUUUCGGGUGUUCCUUUUGAGCCUCUACCAUUGUUGCCAAAUAGGCCACACAUCAUCCUUUAAUCAUUUUCCUCGCCCACGCCGCUGAUACGGUCGCCGCGAAGCGCGAGCUUUUACAUACGCAGUAUACUAACUCCUCUUGAUUAGGCUCACGGAAAGUGAUCACCUUGCUCUCACAAUCAAUAACCGCAUAAUACUUGAAGAGCCAAUUGAUCCCCAAGAUUACAUCGAAGCCCCACAUUUGAUUUAGUACUAGCAAAUUUGCCGGCAUAAUCCAAUCACCUAUCUGAACUAGACAAGCCAAGCACUCCUCAUGAACACUAAAUGAAUGCUCUGGUGCAUUUACCCACCAAUAGUCCGGGUUAUAUAUCACUUUAAUGCCAUGAGUUUUUGCAAAUGAUGCACCAAUGAAUGAAUGAGAUGCACCUGUGUCAAAUAAAGCUCUAGCUCUAGUGCCUCUAAUCAAAAUAAUACCUGCCACGACACCAUCUUGUACUGCAGGCUGCUCCUCUACCUGAGUAGUGAAAACCCGUCCACUAGGUGCUUGUGAUCUCUUUGGCUGACGUGGUGCUGAUGCGCGUCGAGCCGACAUAGCCGGUGGUAACCUCGCAAGCUGCCUCGGGGAUGAAGGAACUGAUGCUGCCGUCGGUGCAGACGACGCCCAACCCGGGCACUCCCGGAUAAGAUGUCCCGAUUGGCCGCACUUGAAGCACUUUCCUUCUCGCUGUGGGCAAGUUGACUGUCGAUGCUCACUGCCGCAAAUAACACAUCGAGAAGGCCUCCAAUUCUUUGACUACUAUCGGGGAUACCGAGGGGGUUUCUUAGCAUUCGAUCGGCCCCCGGCACCACCCGCCGCUCGUUUCUUUCCUUUGUCCCUUUCCUUAUCCAUCGACUCACGCUCUCCACGAGCAUAGGUGCUACCGUGCUUCGCCCACAAGGCUCGAUCCAAAACCUCCGCAAAGGUUGUAAGCUUAAGGAUCUGAACCUUCUCAUAAAUCCUCGGCUGAAGCCCUCGCAAGAACCAAUCAGCCCGGUCCCGAUCAUCUCGAACAACAUUCAAGACACAAUCAAUAAUGUGGGAGAACUCCCGCUCAUACUCUCCCACAGUCCUAUCACCUUGCCUCAACUUGCGUAAUUUAUCUUGUAGCUUCCGCUUCUCGGUGUCAGGGAAGUAGUUCGCGAACAGUAGCCUUCAGAACUCCUCCCAAAGCAUAGGCGGAAGGUCGGAAGAUCGAUCAUGCUUUACACGCUUCCACCACACCUUCGCUGCCUUCUCCAAACAGUGAGUGGCGAGGUGCACCUUGUCUUUCUCCAAGGCAUAGAUAUUCUCGAAGAGCGUCUCAAUCGAGUCGAUCCACGACUCCACCAUCCAAGGCUCCACCUUUUUCCCGUCAAAAAUAGGUGGGUUGAACAUCUUGAACAUGACAAGAGCCGCAAAUGCAUGCUCCCGCUCCGCCUCUAUAGCCGCACCAUCGGGAUUUGAGGUUCCCGAACCGGCUGGCACCGCCGUGAUUGGCACAGCCGCCGCGGCCACGCCCUCCACCACAGCCGGCACCACUACAGGGGGCGCAGGGUGCUCGGCCCCCACUAGAGUCGCCGCCACCUGCUGCCGCUCUAAGGCCUCUUGGAGCCUUUGGAUUUGCUCUCCCUAACGUUGAACGGACUCCGCUUGUUGCCGCACCACUCCUAUAAGUACGGACACUUGCUCCUGAAGCUCCCUAUCGCCGCUCGCUCCGGAUUGCACGGGAGUCGCAGUCGGUUCCUUGGGCAUAGACCCGUUCGCGGUCUACCACGAGCCAUUGCUACCUGAAACGUAGCAACUCACAUUAGUUACUCAACCAAUAUACUCAAACAUACCCAAUCCGGCGAAAGCAAACAAGUGUAUUUAUUGUCAUUCCAAAGCAUAAUGUCGUCGGCCGCCCAACACAACACAAGGAGUAGAGAACAAAUAUCAACUUGGAUUAGCCCCUAACCACAUUAGAGACUUAGUAACAUCACCCAAUCUCAAAGCUUUCGCUAUACUAUGGUUCCACAUCACUCACGUCCCCUAGGUCCUUAAGUUUUUCCAUUCCUAAGGGUCUCUAGGUCCAUUCCUACACUUUCACUUUUAGGCUUUGAUACCACUAUAUCUGUCACGCCCCGCGAUCGGACCUAGUUGGUCGGUUCGGGCACGCCAAACAGACGCCGAAUAGACAACACCUCCUAUAUCCGCCCAAGGCUCAACACAAGUACAAAUAAAGAAGAUAUAUUGCACAUGCGGAAACAUACAUACAUGGCUUGCACGAGGGCAAGCAGUAGCCAAAGUGAAAGAUUCUAAACUAACAAUAUACAAGUAACAUGAUUAACUUUUAACCAUAUACAUGCAUUCAACUUAUACAUUUACAUUCUUUUCUCUAAACAUCAUUUCUUCUCAUUACAUCACAUGAUCUUCCAAAAUAUGCCUUUUCAUUCAAACAUAAGCUCUCUUUAUAUUUAACCAUCGUUCAUACAUUUAUAAUCAUCAAAAUACAAAAGAUGAUACAUAAGGGGUAUGCAACUAAACAAAAUAAAACCCACUCUGGUGGUCACUGUCUAUGGCACGAUACCUUUUAUUGCGAUCGUCGGCCGGUUCACUCGGUCCCGGCUAUGUGGAAAUAGUAGGGUGAAAACUACAACAAAGUUCCCAGUGGGUUCGGCCACCGACAUCGCCAACUUCCCACUAGGUCUAAAUCAGGCAUAAUAGAAGAAUAGAAAGGUAGUAACCAACAGUACAAAUACAGCUAAUAUACCUGAACAAUAUAUAAUCAAUGAUAUGCUCAAAUAGAAUGCUCAUGAUGAAUGCAAGAUCACAUUUCCUUUAUCCAAUCUCUUGGCUAACCCGUGGGUUUGCCUAUGACUCACCAACUCAUAAUCCCAAACAUUGGGGAGACUACUACGACCCGACGGGACCGUCCUUUCACGCCCCGAUCCCCGCCAAUUUGGUUGGAUUCGGGUCAUAUCAACAGACGCCGAACGGACAGCAUCUCCCCUGUCCGCCUAAGGCUCAAACAACAAGUAUAAUUAAGCAAACAACAAAGAGAUUUUGUAAUUAUACAAGGCUUUCACGAGGGCAAGCAACAACGGAAGCGAAAGCUCUAAGCUAAACAUACAACCAUACAUGAUAUUUAAUUAAAUUUAAACCAAAUACAAGUGAACUAAAACUAUUACAUCUUUUCCAUUCAACCAUAAUAUCUUUACAUUUUAAUCAUUCUUCAAAAAUAUAUGAAUUGUUUACAACUUUAACAUUUAUAAGUCAACAAAGGAAAGUUGAUAUAUGUACACAAAAGGGAAUGACUAAAUGCAUAACUCCGGUGGCCACUAGCUAUGGCGCAAUACCCUUGCCACGGUCCUCCGCCGCCCCACUCGUGCUCGGACUUCUAGGGUGUGUGAGAACUACAACGAAGUUUCCAGUGGAUUCGGCAACCGACCUCGCCGACUUACUCACUAGGUCUAUUCAGGCAUAAGUAUUUCAAAGAAAUGGAAAAGUAACCAAUACUAAUGCUAAUACUAUGCCUGCAAGAAAACUGGUCAAUAACAGAUAAUCAUAUAUAUGAUGAUAUGCAUGCUUGCUUGUUCAAUAACUUUACCUUUGCUUUUACCCAAUCAUGCCGGUUAACCUUGUUAACCCCAAUAACUCACAACCCAAAGUCCCAUAAUAAUGGGGGACUCGAACCACCCUACGGACCGUCCUCUGGGGGGACUUUACCAUGCCCAGUGGUGACCAGCUCCGGAGCGCACUACCCGAGGGAGAGCUACCACCCUCGAGCUAAGACUUAUCGUGAGUAUCGAUCCAAUCCUCAACUUGAGGAUACUUAGCCACUAGUCACAAUGCCAUUGUCAUAAUAGGCUUCUACCUAUUUGUUCAUGCUAUUUUCCAAGUCAUACUUGUCAUAAUGCCACUAUAGUUAAACUAUAUUUAACAACCCAUUUCUCAAUGCCAAUCAUGUCUCUAGUGUCGAUGUCACCUUUGUUUACUAUUGUCCAAGUCCAAAUGUCACAUUCAUGCAACUUUAGGGUUCUAUCAUACAUGUCCAUUAUGGUUCUUGUUCAAUCACUAUGUUCAUAUACGUUAGAAGCAAAUAUUAAAAUUCUAACCACUAAUCACAUGUCAAAACACCCUAUCAUGCAUGAAUGGUUUCUAUACAUAAAUAUGCUAAAAAAAUAUGAAAUAGACAUGAAGGGGAAUCCGAUGAUUCCGGCGUGCACCCCCCACCUUAAAUAUUGUAGAUGGGUUGUAGUUCGACUCUCGGGAUUUUAGGACGCCUCUCCCGUGACCUAAACCCAAAAUAAAGCCAAAUUAGGCCCUAUAUACAAGAUCUCAUACUUAGACUUUUCGUAACGUUAAACCGAGCGCACCAACGCGUCGGAAACACCCCAAUUAGGUUUCCAAAAGGUCAAUUUGCCUCGGAAACAACCGGAGGCAAAAGCCCCGAUUUCCAAGCCCUAACAAUGCCAUAAUUAAAUUUCCUCUAGAUUGAUCUCAUCUCUAAGCAAAUAAUAGCUUAGAAUCAUCUAGAAAGCUCUCUAAUAUCAUUUCCCAGCUAUUGGAACCAUUCAUAGGGCAUCUAACAUGAUCCCUAAUUAACUACCAUGGGAGCACCUUGAGAAAACCAUGGUUUUCAUGGUGUUCUAAGCUCUAGAGGGUUUCUAAGCUUAUUAGAGGAUCAAAACUCCAAAACUUAAGGUUUAAAACCAAACCUUAGCGUUCUACUUGCAAGAGAACUCACCUUGGCCCAAGCUCUUCCAAGUCUUCCUUGUUGGAGAACCACAAAAUCCACCAAAGUCUCCAAAACCCACUUCUCCACCUUCUUCUCCUUCUUCUUCUCCUUCUAGAGAGAGAGAGAUAUGAGAGAGUGAGAGAGGGAGGGAAUGAGAGAAAAGAGCUCUCAUCACCCUAUACAUAACCCAUUCAAUGCACAAUUGCAUUUAAGCUCUCAACAUGUUGCCUCUCACACUGCCCAGACUGGGCAUUUUUCGGGUACGGGGACCGGUCUCUCUAACAGGGGACCGGUCCUCGAGAGCACCCUUUGCAGUUUAUGCAGCCGGGGUCUGGUCUCCCACUAAGGGACCGGUCUCACGGGGACUGAUCUUUCCCCGCAGAGACCGGUCCCCGAGAGCAAAACUCUCAGGACUCAGCUGUUGGGGCAAUUCUUGCUUACGGGGACCGGUAUCUCCCCACAGGGACCGGUCCCCGAGAGCUAAACCCUCAAGACUUAACCAAAUUUUCUUUCUUCUCACUGGUUGCGCGUACGGGGACCGGUCUCUGCUUCAGGGACCGGUCCCCGAGAGCAGAAAACCUGUAGUUUGCAGAUUUUCGCCCACAAUGCUCUCGAAGACCUACUACAAUGCACUUUUGCCCUUUUUGACGCCUUCGGCUAUUCCGAAGCGUACCAACCUCACACUUUGGUUAUUUUGACUAAAGUUUGAUAUUCGCUUACCGAGUUUCAAUAUGAUACACGUCCUCUGGAGAACAGCACCAACCCAGUGAUGAUAACUUCGGAGCUUAUCGCUUGAGGGGGUGCUACCACCCUCAAGCCAGGACUUAUAGACGAGUAUAAUCCAAUUCUUAACUAUAAGGGUGCCAAGUUCAAUCGAAUCCUUAACUAUAAGGAUGCAAUGCUCAUAUAACCCUUAACUAUAAGGUUGUUACGUCAUAAUGUCCACUAUGUCAUUUACUUGCAUUCUUUAACUUUCAUUGUGCCACACACACUAAGUGUUCUUUCUAGCAUUCAAUACUCAUUAAUGCCACUCUUUUAACACUAGCAUUCAUGACUCUUUAAUGACACUCUCUAGGAGUUCAUCUCUAGCAUUCAAUGCAUUCAUUAAUGCCACACAAUACAUAUGUCAUAAUGUCAUUUUGUUCUUUACCUCAUCUAGGUUCUUUGCCCUUUUCUAGGUUCGUGUCAUCUUUCAUGCAAACAUAGGGUUUUACAAGUUCUCAUUAGUUUACAAUCAUCUCAUAUGCAUUUGUACUUACAACAUGCAACAACAAACUCUCAAUCGCCCUACAAUGCAUGAAAAAAGCUAUAGUCACAUAUGCUAAAAAAUGACACUUUAGACAUAAAAGAAAAUUCAUCGAUUUCAGAAAGCACCACCCACCUCGUAUGGUUACUUAGAUGUUACGGUUCAAUUCUCGUGAUUUUUUGACGCUUAUUUUCUCGCUUGCGGCAAAACGAAGCCAAAUUAGGCUUUUUCUCGAAUAUCUUUACAUAGACUUGUCGGAUCAUUGAACCGAGUCCACCAACAAGUUGGAAAUACCCCAAAUUUGGUUUCUAUAAGGUCAAUUUGCCUUUAAACCAUCCUAGGACAAAAGUCUCAAUUUUGGUGCCCUAACAAUGUCACAUAGUAAACAUACACCAUAUUGAUCUCUAUGCUAAGCAGAAGCAAGCUUAACAUCAUCUAGAAACUCAUCUAGAAUAAUUUCUAGGUCAUCUAAACCAUUCUUAGGGCAUAUAACACAAACCCUAAAAUUCCACCAUGAGAGCUCAUGGAGAAACGUGCGUUUUUCAUGGGUUCUGUGGUCUCUACAAGGUUUCCCAUCAUGUAAGAGGCUCAAAAUCAAAAGAUUUAGGGCAUAAAACGAAGCCCUAACAUCAAUUUUAAAAGAAACAUCACCUUAGCCUAAAAGCUCACCAAGCUACAUGUCACGCCCAGCCCCGAAACCACUACCAAUUUGGCACGAUUCGAGCGCGGCGGCGGACCGCCGAACGGACAGCACCUCCCCUGUCUGCCCAAGGCUCACAACAUGAAUGUGUACAAGAAUUUUCCAGAAAUUUAAAUUCUAAACAUACACAUUCAAUGGGGCACAACUAGUGCCAGCAACUACAAGAGCAAGUAAUCCACAGAAUAACAUGUGAAAUAAAGAGAGUACUUUACUAACUAUUACAAUAGUUUUGCAUCUUUUCAUUUACAUUAUUUUCUUUAAAUGAAUACAUUUUUCAUCCAAAAUACAUAGCUCUCCAAAUCCUCACCUACAAUGAAUCUCUCUCAGUACAUAGAUGUGCUAAUGCAAAAAGAAAGCUACUAUACUACCACGGUCUCACUGAUCGGGCGCGAUGCCCUUGCUGCAGUCCUCUCUCGGCAACCCUGUACCUACCACUGGAAAUAGAGUGGGGUGAGAACUAUCUUUCAUAGUUCCCAGUGGGCUCGGCCGCCGACUUUGUCGAUCUCCCCACUAGGUCCAAGUGGGCACAAGUAAUAACAGAUAGAUAGAUAGAUAUGUAUCUGAAAACUGUAAAUGCGAUAGUAGGAAAAUUAUGCUACUAUGCCCAUAAUCAUGAAUAUGAAUGCAUGCUUCAUAUAAUAAAAGGUUUGCUACCAUACUAACAAAUUCGAUCCAUGUUCGAAUAGUAAUGUUCAAUGACAUUUUUAAACCUUUAACUUUCCAUUUACCCAAUCUGUGGUGAGGCCCUAGGGCUCGCCUAUAAGUCACCUUUCAAUCCCAAAGUGGGGAGGGAGCUCCAAGUGCACCCAAGCUCGGGACCGUCUGCGGACCUCUAUGUGGUUCGGACCUCCAAGUGGUCCUAGUCACGCGACACUCCGGAGUACUCGACGACAAUCCCCUCCAUGUGAGGAUAGGAUAGCUAUACCACCCCAAAAGCAGACUGUGAGCUAGAUCUAUCCUCUCCAAGUGAGGAUACCCUACAACUAGGGUCAACAACCCAAUCAAGUCCUCUCCAAGUGAGGAUGCUCUACAACUGGAGUCAACAACCCAAUCAAAUCCUCUCCAAGUGAGAAUGCUCUAUGAACUAGGGUCAACAUCUCUCGCGGAAUCAUCUGUUUCUUAUAUCCAUGUAAUGCUAUUUAGCUUUUCUAAAUUCAUUGUUCACAAGGCAUUUUCUAAGGGAUCUACCUAUCCCUAGGUCCAUCGACCUCUAGUGUCAUUUACACUACAUUAAUGCCACUCGUUAUUCUUUAACUUUGGAUGCCGCUCGUUAUUCUUUAACUUUAAACACUACUUUCUAUGUCACCAACCCCCAUCGGGUUCAUCUCUUCUCUUUCGCAUCAUAGGAUCCACGUUCCGACCCAAUCCUCACCUAUCUAAGUUACCAAGCAUUCCAAGUACACUAAGUUAUCAAUCAGAAAGCAUAAGAAAAGGUACUACUAUGCAAUCCUACAAUGCAACAUGCAAGAGAUGAAGUUAAAUGCAAUCUAAGACAUAGAAAGGAGUUCGAAAGCUUUGGUAUGGCACCUCCCACCUUUUACCGAUGUAGAGGCUUCAGAAAUGAUCCUCGGCGAACUUUACGAAGAGGCUUUAGCCUUACUUGGUCCAAGACAAUGCUAGAUCGGCCGUAUUUCGCCGAUAGCUUCAAUCCCACUCGACGAAUCGCAAAAUCGACUUCGCCCUCGCAUUUUGUGACCUAGCAAUUAGGUUUCCAAGGCCUCAAAUAAGAUCAAUCUCAUACUUUCUCAAAAACCCCAUUUUGGGUGCCCUAGGUUUGCACCUAUAGCAAACCAUCAAUAAAUCUCGAGAUUCUUGGGAUUGAUCUACUUAGAAGCAUGCUUAGGGUCUAUUUGACCCAUUCCAAAGUAUCCAAACCCAAAACCCUAAGUUUUAGAAGCUAGGGUUUGUAGCUUACCUCUUGAGCUACACCAAAGAGAAGAGGAGAGGGAGAUGAAGGUGUCCAAGGCCUUCCUCUUGAUCUCCUUCUUCUUCUCCUUCUUGUUCUUCUUCUUCUUUUCAUUCCUCUCCUUCUUGUUCUUCUUCUUCUCCUUUCUUUUCUAGAGAGAGAGAGAGCAAGAAAGUGUGAGAGAGGGAAAGAGAGUAUGAGUAAGGGUGAGAGAAAGGAAGAGGGCUCAGCCCCUCUAAUCCCCCCCUAACUAAUGCCAUUUUGCAUAAAAACCCCUCAACUUUUCCAUCCUUGCACAGCCUUUACUGGGCAGAAUUCGCGCAGAGGGACCAGUCUCCCCGACCUGGGACCAGUCCCCGAGAGCUUCCCUCGGGCGCACACGUUCGGGUACCGGUCUCUCCUCGGGAGACCGGUCCUCGAGAGACCGGUCCUCGCCUGAGAGACCGGUCCCCGAGAGCCCGAUUUUCAGGACUUAGCCAAAUUUCAGCAUUUCUCGCUGGGACCACGUUCGGGAACCGGUCCAUCCCUGCCAGGGACCGGUUGCAUCACGCAACCCCGCUACACCCAGCCGAUGGAACCGGUCACUCACCUCCAGAGACCGGUCCCCAAGAGUAAUCUCAGUCCAAUGAUGCAGUUUGCACCAUUUGCUCUCGUGGACUCCACUCCAAGGCACUUUUUGUGCUUUGGACAUCUUUAACUUCCCCAAAGGGUAUUCUCUCGACAAAUUGUUGAUCCUUGACGAAGUACAACACUCGGAUUUUGAGAAUUCACUUCCUUACAUCCUUCCCUCCUUAAAAGGAGUUUCGUCCUCGAAACUAACUCAAUUCUUUACUUUAACUUAAACCCAUACCUUACUCCUCGAAUAGAUGAGGAUGGUGCUUUCUCAUUAGAUCCUCGAGUUCCUAGGUGGCCUCGCGAUCAUCGUGAUUGCUCCACCUAACCUCACAUAGGGAAUUUCUCGAUUUCUCAACUUUCGCACCUCUCGGGCGAUAAUCCCUAUCGAAAACUCUUCAUAGCUCAAGUCUCCUUGAAAUUCCGGCGGUUCAUAUAGCAUCGCAUACUCGGGGUUGUGAAUAUACUUGCGGAGAUUGGAGACAUGGAACACAUUAUGUACAUCCGCGAGCUUCGGCGGUAAGGCGAGUCGAUAAGCCACCGUGCCAACUCACUCCAAUAUUUCAUAGGGUCCAAUAUAUCGGGGACUUAAUUUUUCCCGCACUCCAAACCGCUUCACACCCCGCAUCGGUGAAACCUUUAAGAAUACGCGGUCACCCACCGCGAACUCUAUAUCUCGUCGGCGCCUAUUCGCAUAGCUUUGCUGUCUUGACUGCGCCGUGAGCAAUCUCUUGCGAGCAAGGCGGACUUUCUCCUCCGCUUCUUACAGAACAUCGGGGCCGAACUCUGCACGCUCACCCACAUCGCUCCAGUGUAUAGGAGAUCGACACGUCCGCCCAUAGAGAGCCUCGAACGGUGCCAUCUCCGCACUAGCAUGAUAACUAUUGUUGUAGGCGAACUCGGCUAUAGGUAGGUGGUCACACCAACAUCCCUUAUAGUCGAUGACAUACGCUCGCAACAUGUCCUCCAGAGUUUGGAUGGUUCUCUCUGUUUGUCCAUCAGUCUGAGGAUGAAAUGCUGUGCUAAAGUCGAGCCGUGUGCCAAGGGCUUCCUGCAGGCUCUUCCAGAAGUGUGAAGUGAAUCGGGGGUUGCGAUCCGACACAAUCGAUUUCGGCACACACAGUCUCACUAUCUCGUCGAGGUAUACCUGCGCUAACUUGUCACCCGACCAUGUGGUGUGGAUCGGCAAGAAGUAAGCCGACUUCGUCAAUCGGUCCACAAUUACCCAAAUUGCAUCGUGGCCGCCCGUUGAACAGUGCAAAGUGUACCGAAAUUGAACAUUUCGGAUAUAUAUGUGAUACGGUUUUGAUGCAUUAUUUUCAGCAGGAGUGGGGCCUCGUGGGGCUGAUUUUGGAACCCUUGUAAACUGAGUUGGAGCAUAGUACUAGGUGGGUUUGACCUAACCAGAGCAAGUGAAGCUCCCCUAUGUUCUAUAUGUUACUAUAGAAUUGGUAUAGUUGUGCGCUUUUGUAAUAAUUGUGAUUGGUAAAGUAUUUGGAACUUGUUGCUAUAAUGUUUAAUGUAAUUGAAAUAGAACCUCUAUAAAGUAGAGAGUAUUUAUGCAUAAAAGUAUUAGUGCAUAAACAUAUUCUUGUUUAGUUCAGUAGAACAACCAAGAGAUAACUUUCUUAUGCUCUUUAAAGUAAAGAACAAUGGCACUCUCUUGACUCUAAAAUAGAGAACAAUGACAAGCUUUAUGACUAUAUUGAUAGUGCCAUGAUAGUGGAAAGUUCCUAAUGCCAUAUGUUAAUUAGCAUUACUCUCACAUGCUUACUAAUCUAGUGGAUACUAGUUUUUGUCAAUAUUUAUUAUAUUGAGAUUCCGAUCAAAGAAUCGAGAGCGAGAACAUUGCAAGUUGGAAAGUGGUGACUGAGACAUAAUGGGUUAUGAACUUGCUUGCUGCCAUUGUGCUCAUUCGCACACGCUUGUGAGGGUCGCUCCCUAUAAGCCGGCACUCCGGAGUUGGCCUACGCGACAGUUGCUCGCCCGUGCGGGAUUGGGUGCCGAAGUGGAUUGCCGUGGGGAGUGUAUACUACCACGGGGCCAUUAGGCACGGCGCAAGCUGGACUACCUUGGGUAGGUCCUUAUGAAUGAAAUGAAAGUACUAAAUGACAAAGGACAGUAAUGAAUGCUCAUCAGUUAUAGUGUACAGUAUUUACUUACACAUCCAUGUUUAUGUUCAUAUUUAUAAUAAUUGCCAUGCUUAUUCAGUUGAUUCAUUACUGCAGAAAUCUUGAUUACAUGUUGAUUACAUGCGUACUGCUUGCUAGCAUUGCAUAUAGAUAUCAUGCAAUUAUCGCUUUUAUUUUCAUUUAGUACAUCAUGAGCCUAGUGGUGUAAUUCGCCGAGGCUGGCGGCUUACCCACUGGGAACUAUUGUUAAUAGUUCUCACGCCCUUUUUGUGGUUGUUUUUACAAAGCCAUCUACAGGAGAGGCUAGGGAUCGUGGCAAGGGAGUCGCGUCUAGCUAGACAUUGCUAGGAGCGUGCUAGUCGAUCACCUUGCUACUCGGGCUACGGCCGAGGGUGAUGUCCUGUGUAUAGAGAGACUACCAUUGUACAGAUGUUUUGGUGUUGUCUAUGAUGUAUAUGAGUAUUGGAUCCAAAUGUUAUAGUUUUAGUAUUUUCUUUUGUACUUAUAUUUUGAGUUGGACCCUCUUGUUCUUUUAUUGACAGUAUUGGGAACUUAUACUUUGCUCUGAUAUCAGGAUAGGAUUUUUCUAUAUUUUUCUCCUAUCGCCUUGCUUUCUUAUAGACGCCUUAUAUACUGUAGGAGUAUGGCUGGUCUGUGCACGUACCGGAUAUGCUUCCGCUGGUACCCGGGCGUGACAAAUACAUGUCGACGAUCUAUAUACUUAGAAGAUAACCGACGAUUAACCAACCUCAAAAGCUAAUCCUAAUCAGGCGCGACGUCGAGAACGGCGGAAUCGCACCCUCGCCCGGCCUCCUCGCGUUGUUACGACGACGAACGCACCCUCGAAAGGCACUGCGGCGCGACGUCAGCGAAACUCCAACACCACCCGAGCUCCUCCACAAUCGAUCAAGCUAGAGAGAGAGAGUGAAGGAAGCAGGGAAAACAAUCUCUCUCAGCUCUCCUCAUACCUGUAUAUAGUUGGGGGAGAGGGGUGACACGUACGAGGCAUGGCAAAGACUAAUUUGCCCCUCACCUACCCUGGUGUACCGGUACACGGGUAGUUGUACCGGUACAAAUGGCAACCUGAGAGCAGCUGCGUAAAAAUCUGGCGAAGUGUACCGGUACGCCCUGCUGGUUGUACCGGUACAGAAAGUGUACCGGUACGCCUUGAUGGUUGUAUCGGUACGCUUUGAUGAUUGUACCGGUACAACAAGCAAAAAAUCUGCAAUUUGCAGAUUCCCAAAGCUAAGUCCUGCUUUCGCGUCCCCGCUGAGUCUUUUUUGCGUCUAUUUCGCGUCAGCACGACUCGGACUUGUCCCGACACUCUCCAGAGCUGUCGACAAGCCUCUACUGCUGUACACCAGGGAUACCACAGCUAAGCCCCCCCCCCGCCCACACAAAUUUUUAUAAUUUGUAUGAUAGUUCUUUUUAUAUAAAAAAUUUUAAAAAUAUAUUUUUAUUUAAUUUUAAAAGUAUGAUGAGUAAUCUGAUUGUUUUUUAGAAAAAUUGGCGCUAAUAUAAUGCUCUCUCAGCUCUGAGUUUAUUUAUUUAUUUUUUAUUUAGUACCUUCAUAACUUCUAAUUUUUUUAGAUACUUUUUUUAUUUAAUUAAAUUAAAGUUUAUAUUAAAGUUAAUAGUUCUGUCAACUAAUAGUUAUUUAUUGUCACAAUUAUAUUUAGUAAAAAUUAAGAAAUUAAAUUAUUCACUGAAUUAUUAUUAGAUUUAAUAUAUUUCAAAAUUAUUUUAGUGAAAUAAUAUAAAUAAAUAAUUAGAAGUUAAGUAAAUAUAAAUAAAAAAGGGAUAAUGUUUUUUUACACUAAUUAUUUAGUCAAUAUAUUUUUCAUCAAAAAUUGACUAGGUAAAUUUUGUUUAUUUGCUAAAAUUUUGAUUUGUAUGUAUUUUUGGCCCCCCUCAUAAUCGAGUGCUAGCUUCAUCCCUGCCUACAGGUGAUGUUGUUGUUGUGAUGUUUGCUUGAUGGUUUGUAUUUCGACCUAUAUUAGAGACUUUGUUUGCCGGUGCAAGCUCCGGACAAAGUUUUCUAAAGUAUUAAUAAGUUUCCGAUGUACUCUGAUUUAAAAAAUUAGAAAUAAUUUUAAAAAUACUUAAAAAGGGGGGUGCGGGAGCGCAAUAAAAAUAUAAAAAAACUUGCACCAAUACCAAAAGAGAUCUUGGUAGUAAUUUUUUUUCUACUUUCAUUAAAGAUUAUAUAUAUAUAGAGAUCUCAUGGCUACUAUACUCUUUUGAGUAGACCCUUUUGUACUCAUAAGUUUUCAACCGUUUGAUGAAAAGAUGGGCAAUUAUGAUGAUAGUGGUCUCUGAUUAGGAUAAUAGUAGUCCCCUAGAAUUGAGUGGGUGAUUAGUUGAAUAGUACGAUCGAACAGAUAAAAAUAGUCAAAGGGGUAGAUCUAAUGGCGGAAAACUUCUGAGUAUAAAGGGGCUUAUACUCAUAAGAGUGUGUGUAUAUAUAUAUAUAUAUAUAUAUAUAUAUAUAUAUAUACUAGUUAAGUGCACGUGCAAUGCACGUCGCACAAAUACUAAAAAAUAAAAUUUUUAUAAAUAAAUAUUAUAGAUUCGAUAUAUAGUAUUUAAUCAUUACCAAAAUAAAAUGAUAGAAAUAAGAAAUAGAAUUACAAUAUCAUCAAAGAAAGAACACAGAAUCCAUCAUGAUAUCAUUGAAAAAAAAAUACAAAAUCCGUCACUAAACUAACUGAAAAUGUCACCAUCAGUCUCCCUUCCGUACAAAUUACACUGAAAGUAAGAAAAAUAAUAAAGUAAAUAUUAGUAAAUCAUCAGAAUAGAUAAAAUUAAUAAAAAAUAUAAAUUUAAUAAGAAUUCAUAUAAGUAAAAAUUUUUAACUUCAUUUUAUUUCUUGAGUUUUUGGAAUAGGUGGAUUAAGCACAAUUUUACUAGCAAAACUUUGCUAAAUAAAUUGAUUCUGAUAAAUAAAUUUAAAAUACUACAAAAAAAUAAAAUAUUAAAAAGUAUAUUUAUCCUAAUUAUCGAUAUUAACGUGCACUGCUUUAAUACAACAAUUAAAUUGUUUGCAAUAGCGUCUCUCCAUAUGCCAAUGUGUGUUAGCAUUAUCUUGUCCUAAAGAAUCAAUCUAGUUCGAUUCAUGUUUCAAUCCAUCUAAAUAAUUAGUUAUUAAUAAAUUUUUCAUGUCAAUGUGUGUUAGCACUAUAUUGUCCUAGCGGAUCAAUCUAAUCCAAUUUAUGCUUCAAUCCAUCCAAAUAAUUAGUUAUUAAUAAUUUUUUUCAUGCGAAAUGAUAAAAAGAGAAACACUUUACCUUCAAGUUUAGGACGAUUAACACCAGACAAAUAAAGAGUAAUUGAUUUGGACAACUAUUCCUACAACACCUAAGAAAACUGAAAUAGUAUAGAAGUUAGUAGUAGUAUAGAAAGUGGCGAAGGCGACAAUGUGUCGGCGUCGAUGACGACGAUAACGAUGAGGAAGAUGAUGACGAUAUUCUAGUACGGACAAUGAGGACAAAUGAGAAAUAAUAUUACUAAAAAAAUAUUUGAGAAUAUUUGAGAAAAAUAUAGGUAAAAAUAAAAAAGAAUAUUACUAAAAAAGUAUAUGUUUUAUAUUUGAAAAACAUAUAGGUAAAAAUGACAAAAUACUAAAAAAAAAAAAGCUAAAAUAGCAUAGAGGCACAUUACAAAAAAAAAAAAUUCAGAUGAAAUCAAAAUACCUCUGCAAAGGGGAAAAUGUGCCGGCGCCAGUAAUGUGAUGAUGUAACGGUGUCGACAACAGAGAUAAAUAAAAAAGGAUAUUAUUAAAAUAAUAUUUGAGAAUAUUUAAGAAAAAUAAUAGCAAAAAUGAAAAAAAAAAUAUUACUAAAAAAAUAUAUGCUUUAUAUUUGAGAAAUAUAUAAGUGAAAAUGAGAAAUACUAAAAAAUACUAAAACAGUAUAAAAAUAUAUUAAAAAAAAAAUUUUCAGAUAGGAUCAAAAUACCUCUUCAAUUGUGCAAAGGCGGCGAAAGUAGCGAAGGCGAUAAUUUGUCGGCGCCGGUGAUGAUGAUGACGAUGAUGACGACGAUGUACUAGUGCCGACAAAUGAGAAAGUAUAUUACAAAAAAAAAAAUUAAAAAAAAUUUAAAAAAAAAUAGAUAAAAAUAAAAAAAUAUAUAUUAGUAAAAAAUAUAUACUUUAUAUUUAAUAAACGUAUAUGUGAAAAUAAAAAAAAUAAAAAUAAAGAUAUACUAAAACAGUAUAAAGGUACAUUAAAAAAAAAAAUUUCAGAUGGAAUUAAAAUACCUCUUUAAUUAUAACGAAGGUGGCGAACGCGACAAUGUUCCGGCACAAGGCAAUGAUGAUGAGUAGGACGAUGACGAUGUACCUCUGUAACAAAUGAGAAAAGAUAUUACUAAAAAAAAUUUGAGAAAAAUAUAGAUAAAAAUAAAAAAGGAUACUACUAAAAAAAUAUAUAUUCUUUAUAUGUAAGAAACGUAUAGGUGAAAAUGAAAAAAUACUAAAAAAGAUAUGCUAACAGAAAAGAUAUGAUGUAUAUAUUAUGUGAAAAAUAUUAUGAUGAGAUAAGAUUGGUUAGCGUAGAUAUUAUAUGUAAGGGUAUUAAGAUAUAUUCUAUAUUUGAGAAUGCGGAGAAUAUUUUGGUGGGUAUUAUUUAAAUAUCGAAUAUUUUGCUAAAAAAUUUAAAAUUAUAUUUAAUUAACGAUUUAGUUUUGAUUGGACAAAUAUUAAUUUUUUUUUAGAAAUAUUCUAUGCCUUUAUGACGCAUUAUUUAAAUAUUGAAUAUUUUGCUAAAAAUAUUUAAAAUUAUAUUUAAUUAACGAUUUAGUUUUGAUUUGGGGUAUUAAAUUUUUUUAGCAAUAUUUAACACUUCUAUGGCGCGCCAAAUUUUAAUACUCGUCAAAAUUAAAUCUACUAUCUUAUGUAAGGAAAAAUCUACUAUCAUGAAUUAAAAUUCAAAUUAUCAAAUUCACGGGUAUUAAAUUUUGGCCGUCAUUACAAAUUUAAAAUUUAAUUUUGGUAGGUAUUACAUUUGAGAAAAAAAAUAUUUGAGAAAAUGCUUGGAUAGAAAAUAAAUUUAGCGGAGGUAUUACGUUAGAUAAGAGAUAAAUUUAGUUUUCCGUAUUAUGGAUAGAAAAAAAUAUUUGAGUAACAUAGAUAGUAGAUAACGGAUAUGGAUAAUAUUUUUGUCAACAAAAAUAAUAGAUACUUUUAUUUUUAUUCGUUGGAUAAGAUCCAAUAGCGAAAACUUAAAUCUAUAUUUGAGAAUAAAUUAUUAUUUGAAGAUUUAUUUAAAAUGGAUAAAAUAUAUUUUAUAUUUGAGAACGCGGAGAAUAUAUUGGUGGGCAUUAUUUAAACAUUAAAUAUUUUGCUAAAAAUAUUUAAAAUUAUAUUUAAUUAAUUUUUAGUGAUUAGCAGAGGUAUUACGUGAUUGGCGGGUAUUACGUUAGGUUAGAUAAGAGAUAAGUUUAGUUUUACGUAUUACAUGAUUGGUUGGUAGAAAAAAAAUAUUUGAGAAACGCGGCGUAGAUGGGAGAUAACGGAUAUAUAUGUAGGGUAUUUUUGUCAACAAAAAUGACAAAUACUUUUAUUUUUAUUCGUUGGAUGAGAUCUAAUGGCGAAAACUUAAGAUCUAUAUUUGAGAAUAAAUUAUUAUUUAAAGAUUUAUUAAAAUGGAUGGUUGAAAAUGUCUGGACAUGACAAUAUUAGUAAAAAAGAUAGAGACAUUUUUGGAAAGGGAAAAAAUUCAAAACUCAGGUUUCUAUAAAUAGUAUAGAUAUAGAUAGUAUAGAUAAAUUAAUGUGUUAUAUUUUAUUAGAAAAUAUUUAUAAUAUCCUACCGUGUUCUUUUAUUUAUAUACAUCGAACAUUUUUAUAUACUUUUUGAUUUUUGAUGAAUUAAAUUUAAAUAUGUGUUUUAAACUAAAAGCAUAAAAAUUUAAUUUACAUUUAAUUUAAAAUUUAAAAUUUAAUUUUGAUCCACUGUAAUAAACAAAAUUAAUUAUUAAUUCAAAUUUGAUAUCAAAAAUUAAAUUUAAUUCAUAAUUUAAACUCAAUUUUUAAUUUUAAUGUAAAAUAGAUUAAUAGAAAUGCUAUUUUUUAACAAAUUUAUUAUAACCGUUUGUUUUAAUUUGAGAUAUUUUUUAACAAAUUGAUUAUAAUCAUUCAUAGGAGUGAAUUUAUAGAUGGAUGCGAAUGCUAUUUUUUAAUAGAUUGAUUAUACCUGUUCUUAUUUGAGAUUUUUUUUAACAAAUUGAUCAUAACCAUUUAUAGGGAAUAGAUUUUUAUAUGUAGUAGAAAUUUAAUAAAUUGAUCAUAACCGUUCGUUUUUAUUUGACAUAUUUUUAACAAAUUAAUCAUAAUUAUUCGUAAGGAAUAUUAUUUUAUAUUUAAUAGAUUGAUCAUAACCGUUAAUUUUUAUUUGAGAUAUUUUUAACAAAUUAAUCAUAACCAUUUAUAGGGAAUAUUAUUUUAUUCCUUUUUGAAUUCCGUCUGUCAUUGUCGGAAUUCCUAUACGUUUAUAUAUAUAUAUAUAUAUAUAGUUGGUCUGGAAUACUAUUAAUAGCAAAAAGUCUUUUUUGCCAUCAAAUUUUUAACGCUUAGAUGAAAAAUUAUAAGGUUAGAAUGAUAUUAAUCCCUUAGGGUUGAGUGGUCCCCCUAGAGUUGAGUGGUCCCCUACCACACGAGCACAGCGAAAAUAGGAUCUUUCGUAGACAUAAAAAAUGAGAACGAUCGUAGAAAAAUAAGCACGCGGAUAACAAAACAAUAAGGAAAAUAAGAAAUCACAAGAAUACAAGAUUUACGUCGUUCGGCCAACCUUGAAUCGACCUAUGUCUACG